GAUGAACGCUAGCUACAGGCUAAACACAUGCAAGUCGAGGGGUAACGAGAGGAAAGCUUGCUUUCCUUGUCGACGACCGGCGCACGGGUGAGUAACGCGUAUCCAACCUGCCCCCAACUAGGGAAUAACCUUGCGAAAGUAAGACUAAUACCCUAUAAUUUCCUCAGAUGUCAUCUGCAGAGGAAUAAAGAUUUAUCGGUUGUGGAUGGGGAUGCGUCUGAUUAGCUUGUUGGCGGGGUAACGGCCCACCAAGGCAACGAUCAGUAGGGGUUCUGAGAGGAAGGUCCCCCACAUUGGAACUGAGACACGGUCCAAACUCCUACGGGAGGCAGCAGUGAGGAAUAUUGGUCAAUGGGCGGAAGCCUGAACCAGCCAAGUAGCGUGCAGGAUGACGGCCCUAUGGGUUGUAAACUGCUUUUAUACAGGAAUAAAGUUAGCCUCGUGUGGUUAUUUGUAGGUACUGUAUGAAUAAGGACCGGCUAAUUCCGUGCCAGCAGCCGCCGUAA
Molecule: ribosomal RNA, 506 nt
Filed under: uncultured bacterium
Lineage: Bacteria
Description: partial 16S ribosomal RNA
Rfam family: Bacterial small subunit ribosomal RNA
Source: RNAcentral